RNAcentral lists this small RNA (696 nucleotides) under Arabidopsis thaliana (thale cress). RNAcentral's name for it is "ATSL101720". The record is from RNAcentral. Lineage: Eukaryota; Viridiplantae; Streptophyta; Magnoliopsida; Brassicales; Brassicaceae.
AAGAAUAUAUUUUUAAAGAAAUCACGUGUGAUCUUAAUAAAAAACGUGUAUUACUACAAUAUCAUGAUAAAAAGAGAUAUUAAACUGAAUAGAAUGUUUUUUCUAAAAAAUACCAUGUGCUUUUUAUAAAUACUAUGUAAUAAGAGAAAAUAACAAGAUAAAAAGAGGAUAUUAUGUUAUCGCAUGUAUUUCGGAAAAAUAACAUGUUACAAAGGACAUUUACGUAAUUACACGUAUUUUCCAACAUGUUUCCGACAAGAUACUGUGACUCAAGGUUAGUUUGUACAUUCUUUUCAAAUCUAUAGUCAUUUAUUAUAAAUACUCAAAAAUAUAAGAUUUAUCAGUCUAAAAUUUUUUAUAAAUGACAAAAGAAUUAGAGAACGAAGAAAAACAUGACAUUUUUACUCAUGUUUCGCGUAGAAAUGUACGGUGCAGUGUAAUUUCAAUAAUAACAAAAAUAUCUAAAUAUGUAUAUGUAUGUAUAUAUAUAUACUAGAUUUUAACCCGCGGUAUACCGUGGGACGAUUUCUUUUUUUAAAAGUAAUAUAUAUUAAAAUUUGCAAAUUUUAUUUUUAUAAAAUAUUUAUAUUUUACAGUUUAUAAUUGUUAUUAAGUAACGCUAUACCACGAAUCCAUGAGACAAUUGUUAAAAAACUGAAGUUGUAAUCCCUAUUAAAACAACAUAUUAAUAAUAUU